GCUCCCAUGGCGUAGUGGUCACUGCGCUCGCUUUGCACGCGGGAGACCCGGGUUCGAUUCCCGGUGGGGUCA
Molecule: transfer RNA, 72 nt
Filed under: Diaphorina citri (Asian citrus psyllid)
Lineage: Eukaryota; Metazoa; Arthropoda; Insecta; Hemiptera; Psyllidae
Rfam family: tRNA
About the family: Transfer RNA (tRNA) molecules are approximately 80 nucleotides in length.
Source: Rfam by way of RNAcentral